Sceloporus undulatus (fence lizard) is the source of this 2238-nucleotide long non-coding RNA. RefSeq lists it as uncharacterized. The transcript is spliced from 4 exons. The record is from RefSeq and is a predicted model, not a curated record. Lineage: Eukaryota; Metazoa; Chordata; Lepidosauria; Squamata; Phrynosomatidae.
CCUUGCUAGCGGCCGCUGCUGUGGCCAUUUGCGCAUGCGCCGCCUCCAACUGAAGCGGCCACGCGCAAGGACUGCUGGAGCCCGCGCAUGCUUGUAAGGGUCGCCUGGGCGAGCGGCGAUCCUCCAGCCCUUGCUCGCGGCUGGAAGCAGUCGUGUGCAAGGGCCGCAACAGUGGUCCUUGCGCCUCCAGUGGCCCUUGCGCGCGGCCACUCCACCUGGAGGCGGCGCAUGCGCGCAAUGGCCGCUGCCUGGAGCGACUGCUCCUAAGAGCAAUCGCCGCAGCGGCAGCCGCCUGCCCCGGGCGGGGCAAACCCACCUCCCCAACCGGUGAAAAGCCGUGCAUGCCCUGCCCCCAGGCCGGAUCUGGCAACCCUAGCGCCUGUGUAAUGACCUCCUGAAGAGAUCUGAACUCAAAAGCUGGUCUCUUUUGUGGCAGCCCAGUUAGGGCCAGAGCUUGGGGCAAGAGAGGAGCCAGAGGCAAAGGAAGAGGCAACCCAGAAGAUGCAGCAUGAGUUUAAUCGGACAGAGGCUUCGUUUAAGAGUCCUGUUCCUCUUUAGGAACCCUUUCCUUGUCCAUCAGUCAGCAUCAUGAUCUUCUGCUUGCCUCCCGGCUUCACUCUUGAGAUCCACUCCUAAAACAUAUUCAUUAGCCAUCAUUUUCUUGCAAGCUCUUUGGCUUUCCCUUUUGCCUUGGAAAUGCUCCAGUCCCAGCCCAUUGUUGCUGUUUACAGCUUGCUGUCAUUUGUGAAAGUAUCUGUGUCUGUAGCUUCUUUUUCAAGCUGUGGUAGUCUCUUCCUUUGCUUGUUGCUCUUGGGGAGUUGUCUAACAGUCAUUUCUUCAGCCCUGGACUGCUGCACCUCUGAGUGGAUGGGGCGCCUAUAACUCCCUUGGUCCAGUUCACAGCAAGGUUCCUCAGUGAAUGCAACAUGCCUCUCGACUGCCUGGUUCUGUGUUUCAAGAGAGAAGAAAUACAUGGGGUCAUUUCUACCUAGACUACAUUUGAGCCAAUCCCCCUAAUUCCAUCUGAAGUGGAAGAAUCGUGACUCAGUUCAGUUAAAUUUGGCCACAGAGUUGCCCUGGAGGAGGCAGACAGUCCUGGAGAGAACGUAUUCAUGAAACACAUACAUAAUCAAAGCCGCAAAUGUGGAGGGAUGACUGGGAUUGCGUCUGCAGCAGACGCCCAAACUCCCUCAGAUAAAGGUAGGAGUCAAUACUUCCCUGCCUCUCUGGAUUCAGCCCCCAUGGAUUUGUUGCUGUCUUGGUAUAAAUACAUGAACACAAGAAAACUAAGGGACAGUACAACCCUCCAAGGAUAACCAGCAGACCGUAUUAUGACUGGCUGAUCCCUUCUGGGUUGAUGGGAAUGUAUUCCUGGGGAAAGAACUCAAAUGUUUCUUUCAAAAUCAUCUUUAAAAACUCCAAGAGUGAAAUAAAGACCCACUUUCUUCCAUAAUGUUGGUGCAGGCAGCCAAGUGCCAGCUUUCCAGAUGAUACUUGUGGCAUCUUCUAAGCCUGUUAAGGCAACUUGUCUGCCCAGGGCUUCAAAUAUUGCCUAGGACAGUGAUGGUGAACCUUUUUGAGGCCGAGUGCCCAAACUGCAACCCAAGACCCACUGAUUUAUUGCAAAGUGCCAUGUCCCUCUGACUUUCCAGUAACAAACUCUGGCAAACACUGUGCUGGGGCAAUGGCACAUGUGCCCACGCGUGCCAUAGCUUCGCCAUCACUGGCCUGUGACCUCAGACAUGGUCUGUGACCUCAUUGGCCAGAAAAAACCACAUGAGACAGAUGUACUCAAACCAAGGACCAGUAUCAGGGGAAUAAUACUGAAUGGCUUUAAAGAGAUCAAGAGCACCAUCCUGGCCAUUCUUUCAUGACUUCAGACUGCUUAACGCAUGCUAACUUUCUUGCCUGUGAUGUUUUCCUCCUCAACAGAUGGCUGCUUAUUUUGGAUUUGCUGUGGCUGCCACUGACAUCAACAAAGACAGUUGGACCUGCCUCCAACAUCUUUUCCUUGGCAAGAACAGCACUAUGUCCAAAAGCAAGAUGGAGGAUGGAGUAGUGGAUCUGGAGGGCAUGGCUUCAGUCUGAAAGAGAAUCAUCCUCACAUCAUCCAGUGUGAAGCAGUCUAUCAUGUACAGAAAGUACCUUACCACAUCCAACCUGAGGAGCAGCCCUCUGCCAGCCUGAAGGUGUCAACGUCACUGCACUGGGCCAAGGGAGAGGCCAGCCAGGGGAAGG